GGUUUGGGAGGGGUUUACGAACUCCGCAUGGUGAAGGAAAGUGCCAAGAAAAGCUGGUAAUGUGAUGAAAGCAUCAUACCCGUACCCGAAACCGACACAGGUAGGGAGGUUGAGAAUACCAAGGGGCGCGAGAUAACUCUCUCUAAGGAACUCGGCAAAAUGGCCCCGUAACUUCGGAAGAAGGGGUGCCCACGAGAGUGGGUCGCAGUGAAGAGAUCCAGGCGACUGUUUACCAAAAACACAGGUCUCCGCUAACUCGAAAGAGGACGUAUGGGGGCUGACGCCUGCCCAGUGCCGGAAGGUUAAGGAAGUUGGUCAGGGGUUCGCCCUGAAGCUGACGACCGAAGCCCCGGUGAACGGCGGCCGUAACUAUAACGGUCCUAAGGUAGCGAAAUUCCUUGUCGGGUAAGUUCCGACCCGCACGAAAGGCGUAACGAUCUGGAUGGUGUCUCAGAGAGAGACUCGGCGAAAUAGGAAUGUCUGUGAAGAUACGGACUGCCUGCACCUGGACAGAAAGACCCUAUGAAGCUUUACUGUAGCCUGGAAUUGUGUUCGGGCUUGGCUUGCGCAGGAUAGGUGGGAAGCACAGAAGUACCCCUUGUGGGGGGUAUGGAGCUAACGGUGAGAUACCACUCUGGCGAAGCUAGAAUUCUAACCUAGCACCCUCAGCGGGUGUAGGAACAGUUUCAGGUGGGCAGUUUGACUGGGGCGGUCGCCUCCUAAAAGGUAACGGAGGCGCGCAAAGGUUCUCUCAGCACGCUUGGAAACCGUGCGGCGAGUGUAAAGGCAUAAAGAGAGCUUGACUGCAAGAGUGACAACUCAAGCAGGGACGAAAGUCGGCCUUAGUGAUCCGACGGCACAGAAUGGAAUGGCCGUCGCUCAACGGAUAAAAGUUACUCUAGGGAUAACAGUCUGAUCUCCCCCAAGAGUCCACAUCGACGGGGAGGUUUGGCACCUCGAUGUCGGCUCAUCGCAACCUGGGGCGGAAGUACGUCCCAAGGGUUGGGCUGUUCGCCCAUUAAAGCGGUACGUGAGCUGGGUUCAGAACGUCGUGAGACAGCUCGGUCCAUAUCCGGUGCAGGCGUAAGAGCAUUGAGAGGAGCCUUCCUUAGUACGAGAGGACCGGGAAGGACGCACCGCUGGUGUACCAGUUAUUCCACCAGGAGUAGACGCUGGGUAGCUAAGUGCGGAGCGGAUAACCGCUGAAAGCAUCUAAGUGGGAAGCCCACCUCAAGAUGAGUGCUCUCACUACUUAAGUAGGUAAGGUCACGGGCAGAACACCCGUUUAUAGGCUCUAAGUGGAAGUACAGCAAUGUAUGUAGCUGAGGAGUCCUAACAGACCGAGGGCU
This 1349-nucleotide ribosomal RNA is filed under the name metagenome. Its description in RNAcentral is "bacterial LSU rRNA". It matches the Rfam family "Bacterial large subunit ribosomal RNA", at positions 1563 to 2925 of the family's 2925-position model. The record is from RNAcentral.